This 292-nucleotide ribosomal RNA is filed under the name uncultured bacterium. Its description in RNAcentral is "partial 16S ribosomal RNA". It matches the Rfam family "Bacterial small subunit ribosomal RNA", at positions 505 to 796 of the family's 1533-position model. The record is from RNAcentral.
GUUUCAGCAGCCGCGGUAAUACGGAGGGUGCGAGCGUUGUCCGGAAUCAUUGGGCGUAAAGGGCGCGUAGGUGGCCCGGUCAGUCAGUGGUGAAAGCGCGGGGCUCAACUCCGCGUCGGCCAUUGAUACUGCUGGGCUUGAGCACUGUAGAGGCAGGCGGAAUUCCGGGUGUAGCGGUGGAAUGCGUAGAGAUCCGGAAGAACACCGGUGGCGAAGGCGGCCUGCUGGGCAGUAGCUGACACUGAGGCGCGACAGCGUGGGGAGCAAACAGGAUUAGAAACCCUGGUAGUCC